GACGAACGCUGGCGGCGUGCUUAACACAUGCAAGUCGAACGAAGAGCGACGGAAGCUUGCUUCUAUCAAUCUUAGUGGCGAACGGGUGAGUAACGCGUAAUCAACCUGCCCUUCAGAGGGGGACAACAGUUGGAAACGACUGCUAAUACCGCAUACGAUCUAAUCUCGGCAUCGAGGAUGGAUUAAGGGUGGCCUCUACAUGUAAGCUAUCACUGAGGGUGGGGAUUGGGUCUGAUUAGCUAGUUGGAGGGGUAACGGCCCACCAAGGCGAUGAUCAGUAGCCGGUCUGAGGGGAUGAACGGCCACAUUGGGACUGGGACACGGCCCAGACUCCUACGGGAGGCAGCAGUGGGGGAUCUUCCGCAAUGGACGAAAGUCUGACGGAGCAACGCCGCGUGAGUGAUGACGGCCUUCGGGUUGUAAAGCUCUGUUAAUCGGGACGAAAGGCCUUCUUGCGAAUAGUGAGAAGGAUUGACGGUACCGGAAGAGAAAGCCACGGCUAACUACGUG
Molecule: ribosomal RNA, 510 nt
Filed under: uncultured bacterium
Lineage: Bacteria
Description: partial 16S ribosomal RNA
Rfam family: Bacterial small subunit ribosomal RNA
Source: RNAcentral